CAUCUUAGUGGCGGACGGGUGAGUAACGCGUGGGGAACCUGCCCUGUACAGGGGGAUAACACUUAGAAAUAGGUGCUAAUACCGCAUAAGCGCACAGGGCCGCAUGGCCCGGUGUGAAAAACUCCGGUGGUGUAAGAUGGACCCGCGUCUGAUUAGCUUGUUGGCGGGGUAGGGGCCCACCAAGGCGACGAUCAGUAGCCGGCCUGAGAGGGUGGACGGCCACAUUGGGACUGAGACACGGCCCAAACUCCUACGGGAGGCAGCAG
This 266-nucleotide ribosomal RNA is filed under the name uncultured bacterium. RNAcentral describes it as "partial 16S ribosomal RNA". It matches the Rfam family "Bacterial small subunit ribosomal RNA", at positions 88 to 354 of the family's 1533-position model. The record is from RNAcentral.